UACACCUGAACAUCAGCAGGAGAGGACUCUUUAAAGUAGAGACACUACAUACUGAUAUACACCUGAACAUCAGCAGGAGAGGACUCUUUAAAGUAGAGAUGCUACAUACUGAUAUACACCUGAACAUCAGCAGGAGAGGACUCUUUAAAGUAGAGACUCUACAUACUGAUAUACACCUGAACAUCAGCAGGAGAGGACUCUUUAAAGUAGAGACUCUACAUACUGAUAUACACCUGAACAUCAGCAGGAGAGGACUCUUUAAAGUAGAGACACUACAUACUGAUAUACACCUGAACAUCAGCAGGAGAGGACUCUUUAAAGUAGAGACACUACAUACUGAUAUACACCUGAACAUCAGCAGGAGAGGACUCUUUAAAGUAGAGACACUACAUACUGAUAUACACCUGAACAUCAACAGGAGAGGACUCUUUAAAGUAGAGACACUACAUACUGAUAUACACCUGAACAUCAGCAGGAGAGGACUCUUUAAAGUAGAGACUCUACAUACUGAUAUACACCUGAACAUCAGCAGGAGAGGACUCUUUAAAGUAGAGACACUACAUACUGAUAUACACCUGAACAUCAGCAGGAGAGGACUCUUUAAAGUAGAGACACUACAUACUGAUAUACACCUGAACAUCAGCAGGAGAGGACUCUUUAAAGUAGAGACACUACAUACUGAUAUACACCUGAACAUCAACAGGAGAGGACUCUUUAAAGUAGAGACUCUACAUACUGAUAUACACCUGAACAUCAGCAGGAGAGGACUCUUUAAAGUAGAGACUCUACAUACUGAUAUACACCUGAACAUCAGCAGGAGAGGACUCUUUAAAGUAGAGACUCUACAUACUGAUAUACAGCUGAACAUCAGCAGGAGAGGACUCUUUAAAGUAGAGACUCUACAUACUGAUAUACACCUGAACAUCAGCAGGAGAGGACUCUUUAAAGUAGAGACUCUACAUACUGAUAUACACCUGAACAUCAGCAGGAGAGGACUCUUUAAAGUAGAGACUCUACAUACUGAUAUACACCUGAACAUCAGCAGGAGAGGACUCUUUAAAGUAGAGACACUACAUACUGAUAUACACCUGAACAUCAGCAGGAGAGGACUCUUUAAAGUAGAGACACUACACACUGACUAAGUUCUGUGCACCGGUUGCUUCCCUCCCCUCUGAGCAGCUCCUACACACCUCUGUACUUCAUCAGGCCUCUAACGGAGAGUCUGAUUGAUGAUGUUUCACCUGCAGCUCCGUCAGUAGAAGCCGUGCAUCAUUUGUCUUCUCUCAGAUUAUUCCUUCUCUCCUUUAUCCGUGUCCUGCAGGUGUUUUCCAUUCUUCCUCGUCAUCUUCCUCUUCUUCAGUGGUUGUUUCUGUCACAGGACACAGGAGGACAAGAUGCCGUUGGCAGCCUGGAUGCUACUUAUACCGAGUGCUGCUUACUACUGGUUCCUGAUCGCUGAGGGUCAGACCUUCAUCCUCUUCAUCUUCACCUUCUUCG
Molecule: RNA transcript, 1497 nt
Organism: Eleginops maclovinus (Patagonian blennie)
Lineage: Eukaryota; Metazoa; Chordata; Actinopteri; Perciformes; Eleginopidae
Gene: cln6b
Gene name: CLN6 transmembrane ER protein b
Exons: 2
Source: RefSeq, a predicted model, not a curated record